CAUGCAGUCGAGCGGCAGCACAGCACAGCUUGCUCUGUGGGUGGCGAGUGGGGGAAGGGUGAGUAAUGCAUCUGGACCUACCCGGACGUGGGGGAUAACGUACGGAAACUUACACUGAUACCGCACACCUCCUACGGGAGAAAGCGGUUCACCUUCUGGCCUCUCGCGUUUGGACAGACCGAUUUUCCAUUAUCUUGUUGGUAUGGUUAUGGCUUGCCACGGUCACUAUCGAUAGCUGGUCUAAGAUGAUGAUCACCCACACUGGGACUGAGACCCGACCCCUACUCCUACCGGAGGCGGCAAUGGGGAAUAUUGGACAAUGGGCCCGAUCCUGAUCCGCCACUGCCGCGAGUGUGAACAACGCCUUCGGGUUGUAUAGCACUUUUAUCGAGAACGAAAUACCACGGGUUAAUAACCUAUGGGGCUGACGGUACCUGAGGAAUAAGCACCGUCUAACUUCGUGCCCGCAGCCGCGCUAAUACUAAAGGUGCAAGCGUUAAUCGCAGUUACUGGGCGUAAAGGGUGCGUAUGCUGUUCGUUAAGUCUGUCGCGAAAUCCCCGGGCUCAACCUGGGAAUGGCGAUUGAUACUGGCGAGCUUGAGUGAGUCAGAGGAUGGUGGAAUUCCCGGUGUAACGUGCAAAUGCGUAGAGAUCGGGAGGAACAUCAAUGGCGAACGCCUGCAUCUAGGACGACACUGACGCUCAAACACGAGGCGUGGGGAGCGAACAGGAUUACAUACCCUGGUAGUCCACGCCCUAAACGAUUCGACUGGAUAUUGGUCUCAACUCGGAGAUCAGUGUCGAAGCUUACGCGUUAAGUUCGCCGCCUGGGGAGUACGGGCGCAAGACUGAAACUCAUAGGAAUUGACCGGGCCCGCACAAGCGGUGGAGUAUGUGGUUUAAUUCGAUGCACAC
RNAcentral lists this ribosomal RNA (915 nucleotides) under Rhodanobacter sp. Its description in RNAcentral is "bacterial SSU rRNA". It matches the Rfam family "Bacterial small subunit ribosomal RNA", at positions 54 to 961 of the family's 1533-position model. The record is from RNAcentral. Lineage: Bacteria; Pseudomonadati; Pseudomonadota; Gammaproteobacteria; Lysobacterales; Rhodanobacteraceae.